This is a long non-coding RNA of Brassica rapa (field mustard), 819 nucleotides long. RefSeq lists it as uncharacterized. Lineage: Eukaryota; Viridiplantae; Streptophyta; Magnoliopsida; Brassicales; Brassicaceae. The record is from RefSeq and is a predicted model, not a curated record.
CAAAAAAUGUCAAUUUCCAAGAGCAAGACGCAACAGUUAGAGAUUAGUCAACAAAUAAGUCAGCAGUACACCAAUGAAUGGGGGAUACAUCACAGUUAAUUGAGUUAGCAAAGAACAAUAUUUUUUCUUCACUCUAGUUAAAAAGAAUGACGGAAGUCACUCUAGUCAAAUGUUAACAUGUUUUAAAUCUAAAUUGUAGUCUCUCUGUGAUUAGUAAAAUAUUUACAGUCUAGGAUUAUUGAAACAUUUUGUUAUAUAGUUUCCAACCGCUAACGAUAAUAGCAGCAGGAGUUAAGUGUUUAUCAAUAGUAAGAGAGCUUCAUAGUUAUAAAGUAAGCAAUGACAAUGUAAGAAACAGAAAUGCUCACCCUGGUUCAGUAGGCGACAUACAUGUGGAAGCACAGGCAAGAAUGGAGUAAGAUUACGACGCUCUGCAAGUAACUCUGAAAGAUAGCUGCCAAAACAGAACAUAUCCAAAUCAGGAAGAUCCACUUUAAAAAAGAUCAUCAUGAUCAAGAAACCAAAUACACUUAUUAAAUCUGAGAUUCAAGUUUACACUCUUUCAGUGAAGUGGAUCUAGUCAUUCUUCUUACAAAAAAAAACUGUGACUUUAACUGUUUCAAUAAGUCAAAGAACAUAAAUCAACAGUAAGAAUAGUCAAUGAUCUAUAAAUCUAUCAUACCACCUGAUGCGUACACGACACUAACAUAAAAAAAAAGUCAGAUUUGAGAUUACUAAUGAGAUCUACGGAUUAACAUCGGCAAAACAAAGAUUAAACAAUAAGUCAUCAGAUUCAUCAGCCACAAUAAGAUUCACAAC